This 340-nucleotide RNase P RNA is filed under the name Candidatus Caccovivens faecavium. RNAcentral's name for it is "RNase P RNA component class A". It matches the Rfam family "Bacterial RNase P class A". Rfam says of the family: Ribonuclease P (RNase P) is a ubiquitous endoribonuclease, found in archaea, bacteria and eukarya as well as chloroplasts and mitochondria. Its best characterised activity is the generation of mature 5'-ends of tRNAs by cleaving the 5'-leader elements of precursor-tRNAs. Lineage: Bacteria; Bacillati; Bacillota; Clostridia; Eubacteriales. The record is from RNAcentral.
UCAGUCAGACAGACGGUCGCGGUUUAUCGACUACCGAUAAAGCGAGGAAAGUCCGAGCAUUAAAAGAACAGGGUGCCAGUUAACGGCUGGUGGAGGCGACUCUAAGGAUAGUGCAACAGAAAUAGACUGCCUUUUGGCGAUGGUGGAAAGGUAGGGUAAGAGCCUACCGAGGAGGUGGUAACACUUCCUGCUCUGUAAACCCCACCCGAUGCAAGGUUAAGUUUGGGCGUAUAUGUGUUCUUUCAUGUCCAACAAAAAUACCGCUUGAUUUUGUUGGUGACAACAAAACUAGAAAGAUGACCGUUUGAUACAGAACUCGGCUUACAGUCUGGCUGACUUA